UAUAAAGUAGGUUAUAAUCUACUUUUUAUUUUUCAAUAUAAUUAUGUAUUUGGGAUUAGUUUUAGAUUAUAUUAGUAUUUUUUGUCAAUAGAUGAUAAAAAGAACUCCUAAAAGAACUUCACUCUGUUGAGUAUUAAGUGCUGGAUAAAAAAUAGGCUCUAUCAUGGACAGCCUACUCCUAUGAAUAGGUCAGCUAGAUUGAAGAGAAUAGGAAUUGAUAGACCAAGCCAAUAUAAGUUUUUCAAAAGGUUAGGAUCCAGAAUCAAAUUUGGUUCUCUGGAUAGAAAGUCAAAACUUUUCUGUGUGCAAAGUUUGAAAAUGGUUGAAUACAUUGUUCAUUAUACUAACAUUACUAAUCGAUAAAAUGUUUUUGGAAUAUUUAAUGGUAUAUUGUAAUUUUGCAAUGUAUGUGUUUUGCCUAGAUCCAGAAUUUGAUAUGAAUUUUUUUUUGCUAGUGAACUUUCCCUCCCUCCUCUCUUGUGGCAUUAUACAAGAAACUCUCAGUUUGAGUUCCUGCUUAAUGAGUUUCUGUGUUUACUGGUUUUCUUCAAUCAAAGUUUUUUCAAUGAAGUAUCAAAUAAAUCAAAAAUAAGAACAUUAAUUGAAUAAAUAAAUGCUGUUAAUAUUCAUAAAAAGGCAUUUUAAAC
RNAcentral lists this long non-coding RNA (647 nucleotides) under Androctonus crassicauda. The record is from RNAcentral. Lineage: Eukaryota; Metazoa; Arthropoda; Arachnida; Scorpiones; Buthidae.